AAAAACAUAUAUUAAAUAUAAAAUAGAGAAUGAACAUCUUUAAUUAUGUAAACUGGGACAUAUAUAGAAAUGUUAGUGUGUCUAUAACGUGCUGUCCCUACCUAUGAUGGAAGCCAACAAAGAUGGCCUAAUAUUAUGAACUGAAUUACAAACUACAAAAAAUAAUAAUGGAUACAUUUCUUUCUCUUUCUUUCUUCUCCUCCCUCUUUUCUAAAUAUUAAAUUCCCAUCUCUCGUAAAUCAGGGUGGACGGGUUUAAUUUCUUUUGAGACUAAAGUGUUUUGGUCAGCUACAAGACACGUACCGAGUCUAGAUCAGAAGGACAUCGCCAAAAUUUGCAAGUACAUGCUUCUAAGAAUUCUUGAAAUUCCAAUACGUAAGCACUCCAUGGUUUGUGUCCUAAUAUCUGAUUGGCCCAUCCAGGCUCCCUGAUGCAAACUGUUGAACAAUUGGAUUGCUUGAUGUGGUGAAUUCAUGAGUCAUCCCUUGCCAAACGAUCUUUC
Molecule: unclassified non-coding RNA, 502 nt
Filed under: Hevea brasiliensis (rubber tree)
Lineage: Eukaryota; Viridiplantae; Streptophyta; Magnoliopsida; Malpighiales; Euphorbiaceae
Source: RNAcentral